UGUUUUUUUAAUAGUUCAGCCCUUCUUUGCCUCUCGUCGACCUGUCUGGCAGCGAAACCCAGAAAAGUCUCGGCCAGCACGCAGCUUUGCGAAAAUAGGUCCUCGCGGGACACACACUGGUCCUGGGACGAGUACUGUUAAAACAAACAUAUUAUUAACAGUCAUUGAUAGUAACGCAUGGUAACAUGCAACACAAUGUUUCAUAUGACAAAAUGAAGUGUACAUGGAGAUCCACAUGUACAAUAUCAAAUGUUAUUGUUAAUAUUAUUGAACCGUAAAACUAUAGAAACAAUAAAAUAUAGUCUAGCUUCAGAAUAAUAAUGAUAUUGAAAAGUAAAAUCACAGAAAUACUUACACACAUCAGCCGGCAUUUGGUUCUCAGAGCUUGCACCUGAGGGUUUGUGGCUCUGGGCGAUUUCGCCGGGGAAGAAAAGUUUGCCAUUCUAGAAACAAAAAGAGAUGCAUAAUAUGUGACGAUGUCCACAUUUACUUAAACAUGAAUUGCAUUCAUGGUCAAAAUAUGGGGAAAAAUAGGAAAGCGCUUACCUUUCAGCUGCGUUCACGGUGAUAGACAGAGGUAGGAAAAAAAUGAUCGAAUGACCUCUUUUAUACGUGAUUCUACGACGAUGUGAUGGGCGUGGAAUUCUUGGACACUGGACAGUUGUCAUGUAUUAUUGGAUGCUCCAAAUGUGGGCAUGGCACAGCGGCAAACUGUUGUAUUUGAUUCUGGCGUUGUUUGAAGGUUCAAACGAUGCAUUCAUGGCCCUUUGAUCAUCUGUUGGAAUCUCAGAAUGAAACACCUGUGCAGGCCGUCCGUUGCAGCAAAGACACCCGACAGUGUAUAAAUGGACAUUUUGUCAUACUGUCGAGACAGUUACAUCGAUAUUACUGCUGCGAAAAUGGCACAUUUCUCGUCUCCUGCAAGGUUUAUCAGCAUAGAUGACCCCGAGGUGGACUCCAUCAGGAGCCAGUGCCAGGUGUUGAGUUAUUCAUGCAGAGAUCGCAGUGUGCCCAGGGUUGAAUUAAAUCAACAAUGUGUGGAGGUGAGCC
Non-coding RNA from Doryrhamphus excisus (bluestripe pipefish), 1050 nucleotides. The record is from RefSeq and is a predicted model, not a curated record. NCBI's taxonomy places the organism in Eukaryota, Metazoa, Chordata, Actinopteri, Syngnathiformes, Syngnathidae.